GACGAACGCUGGCGGCGUGCUUAACACAUGCAGGUCGAACGGAAAGGCCCUGCUUUUGUGGGGUGCUCGAGUGGCGAACGGGUGAGUAACACGUGAGUAACCUGCCCUUGACUUUGGGAUAACUUCAGGAAACUGGGGCUAAUACCGGAUAGGAGCUCCUGCUGCAUGGUGGGGGUUGGAAAGUUUCGGCGGUUGGGGAUGGACUCGCGGCUUAUCAGCCUGUUGGUGGGGUAGUGGCUUACCAAGGCUUUGACGGGUAGCCGGCCUGAGAGGGUGACCGGCCACAUUGGGACUGAGAUACGGCCCAGACUCCUACGGGAGGCAGCAGUGGGGAAUAUUGCACAAUGGGCGGAAGCCUGAUGCAGCAACGCCGCGUGCGGGAUGACGGCCUUCGGGUUGUAAACCGCUUUCGCCUGCGACGAAGCGUGAGUGACGGUAAUGGGUAAAGAAGCACCGGCUAACUACGUG
RNAcentral lists this ribosomal RNA (468 nucleotides) under uncultured bacterium. Its description in RNAcentral is "partial 16S ribosomal RNA". It matches the Rfam family "Bacterial small subunit ribosomal RNA", at positions 28 to 507 of the family's 1533-position model. The record is from RNAcentral.